RNAcentral lists this ribosomal RNA (497 nucleotides) under uncultured bacterium. RNAcentral's name for it is "partial 16S ribosomal RNA". It matches the Rfam family "Bacterial small subunit ribosomal RNA", at positions 30 to 523 of the family's 1533-position model. The record is from RNAcentral.
AUUGAACGCUGGCGGCAUGCCUUACACAUGCAAGUCGAACGGUAACAGGUCUUCGGAUGCUGACGAGUGGCGAACGGGUGAGUAAUACAUCGGAACGUGCCUAGUAGUGGGGGAUAACUACUCGAAAGAGUGGCUAAUACCGCAUGAGAUCUACGGAUGAAAGCAGGGGAUCGCAAGACCUUGCGCUACUAGAGCGGCCGAUGGCAGAUAGGGAGUUGGUGGGAUAAAAGCUUACCAAGCCGACGAUCUGUAGCUGGUCUGAGAGGACGAUCAGCCACACUGGGACUGAGACACGGCCCAGACUCCUACGGGAGGCAGCAGUGGGGAAUUUUGGACAAUGGGCGCAAGCCUGAUCCAGCAAUGCCGCGUGCAGGAUGAAGGCCUUCGGGUUGUAAACUGCUUUUGUACGGAACGAAAAGCCCUGGGUUAAUACCCUGGGGUCAUGACGGUACCGUAAGAAUAAGCACCGGCUAACUACGUGCCAGCCGCCGCGGUAA